AGCAGUACGGGGAGAGCGACCCUGAUGCUGGCAGAAGAGUUUCCCCGUUGAGAAGAUCAGCGGGGAAAUCUCUCUGUGCCUGAAAGGUCUGAAAGCUUUAGACAUUCAGUGCAUCAGGCACAAAUCAAUGUGCCGUCGCGAGCAUAUUUACGCGGAAACCGCAUCGCUCGGGCAGGACCUGUUUCUCCUCGCGGUUCCGUGGCUCCA
This 207-nucleotide non-coding RNA is filed under the name unclassified sequences. RNAcentral's name for it is "Cyano-2 RNA". It matches the Rfam family "Cyano-2 RNA". RNAcentral also lists the same sequence under 1 other name. The record is from RNAcentral.